GCCAACAAAUCAGGAUGUUUGAUGAACCCAGCGUUAAAUUUUGGUCCUGCAGUGGUAACGGGUGACUGGAGAAGUCAAUGGAUCUAUUGGGUCGGAGAUUUGCUGGGCGGUGUGGUGGGAACCCUAAUGUACGACAAGGUGUUCUCAAGUACCUCGGACGAGAAAUGUCACCUGCGAAGCUGCUGCCUCGGCGUUCGAUCCCCGGACGAGAAGAGGGAGCCAAUCAUGUUUGAUGACAUGGAAACGAAAUCAGGGGGCAAAAUGUACACAUCCCUCCCCGGCGAGAAACCGAAGGAACCGGACGAAAUUACCACAAUGUAAAAGGAAGAAAGAAAACAGAAACAGAAUGAAAGUAAAGACUGUUAACUUUACGAAAAGGAACUCGCACUGUUGAAUAGAUAAAUGUCCGUCUACUUUAAUGAACUUUUAGAAACAAAAGGAGACAAUGGUUAUGUACGCGUGUGUCUGUGUGUUUAAAUGGAUGUCUGUGUGUUUAAAUGGAUGUCUGUACGUAUUUGCCCCCACAGAAGAAAAAAAAAACUGGUCCACAUCAUUGGAUGCAGACAUAUUCGAAAGUGUUACAUCAAAGUUGGCCUUCUCCAAGAGAGAUGUUUCAACAAAGACGAGGGUGUCUCUCGCUUGAAAAAGCUUCAAGCGUAGAGGCAUCGCUCGCUGUUUAACAGCUCUGUUAUGUCCUGCAUACGAUGGUUGGCCAUAGCAAAACAAUGCAAAACACUCAAUGACGGAAUGAAGGGCAUGAGUUGAGGUGGGGCCUAAGCUCGCCCUCUCAACACCUAUUGCUAGAGGCGCCCAGCAAGAUUGAAGGGCCACAUCCAUGUUGCUCAUGACAACAAUCAGGCGUACGUAUAUAUGUAUAUAAGUGUGUGCAUGUGUGAAUGUAUAUAUAUAUGUAUAUGAGCGCAUUUAAAUGAGUGUAUGCGUGUGAGCGUGCGUAUGUGUGCGUGUGUUUGUAUAGAGUCAUAUCCAGGAUUUCAAGUGAGGAACUCUUAUGAAAAUGGAUUCACCAUUAUCCGUCGAAUUUGUGGAAAACUCAAAUAAAAUAUUAGAUGAAGAAUA
Octopus bimaculoides (California two-spot octopus) is the source of this 1077-nucleotide long non-coding RNA. Lineage: Eukaryota; Metazoa; Mollusca; Cephalopoda; Octopoda; Octopodidae. The record is from RefSeq and is a predicted model, not a curated record.